RNAcentral lists this long non-coding RNA (248 nucleotides) under Phoenix dactylifera (date palm). Its description in RNAcentral is "long non-coding RNA (PDAC_LNC004170)". Lineage: Eukaryota; Viridiplantae; Streptophyta; Magnoliopsida; Arecales; Arecaceae. The record is from RNAcentral.
UAUGUUGAGUGUUAGACCGUGAGUUUGCUCCGAACCCACCGAGUUGGAGGCUGAGUAUGAUCCAUCAUUAAUUAAUAUUUUGGAUUGCUAUAUAAAUAGCCUCAUUUACUUUCAUAAUUGGUCUCAAUUAUCAUGAUGAGUAAUGCUAUGACUCCCAAAUGGUAUUGAAGAAAUAGUUAUAUGCCAUGUGGCAUUUAGUAACAACAAUUAAAUUCCCAUCACCAAAAGGUAAACUUUAUCGUACCCUC